AUUGAACGCUGGCGGCAGGCCUAACACAUGCAAGUCGAACGGUAGCACAGAGGAGCUUGCUCCUCGGGUGACGAGUGGCGGACGGGUGAGUAAUGUCUGGGGAUCUGCCCGAUAGAGGGGGAUAACCACUGGAAACGGUGGCUAAUACCGCAUAACGCCGCAAGGCCAAAGAGGGGGACCUUCGGGCCUCUCACUAUCGGAUGAACCAAGGUGGGAUAAGCUAGUAGGGGGGGGAAAGGCCCACCUAGGCGACGAUCCCUAGCUGGUCUGAGAGGAUGACCAGCCACACUGGAACUGAGACACGGUCCAGAGUCCUACGGGAGGCAGCAGUGGGGAAUAUUGCACAAUGGCGCAAGCCUGAUGCAGCCAUGCCGCGUGUAUGAAGAAGGCCUUCGGGUUGUAAAGUACUUUCAGCGGGGAGGAAGGCGAUGUGGUUAAUAACCGCAUUGAUUGACGUUACCCGCAGAAGAAGCACCGGCUAACUCCGUGCCAGCCGCCGCCGUAA
RNAcentral lists this ribosomal RNA (505 nucleotides) under uncultured bacterium. RNAcentral's name for it is "partial 16S ribosomal RNA". It matches the Rfam family "Bacterial small subunit ribosomal RNA", at positions 29 to 523 of the family's 1533-position model. The record is from RNAcentral.